RNA transcript from Propithecus coquereli (Coquerel's sifaka), 1834 nucleotides. It is a transcript of the gene named trans-acting T-cell-specific transcription factor GATA-3 pseudogene, with no coding region annotated. NCBI's taxonomy places the organism in Eukaryota, Metazoa, Chordata, Mammalia, Primates, Indriidae. The transcript has a single exon. The record is from RefSeq and is a predicted model, not a curated record.
AUGGAGGUGACGGCGGACCAGCCGCUCUGGGUGAGCCACCACCACCCCGCGGUGCUCAACGGGCAGCACCCGGACACGGACACGCACCGCCCGGGCCUCGGCCACUCCUACGUGGACCCGGCGCAGUACCCGCUGCCGGGGGAGGUGGAUGUACUUUUUAACAUCGACGGUCAAGACAACCACGUCCCGUCCUUCUACGGAAACUCGGUCACAGCCACGGUGCAGAGGUACCCCCCAGCCCACUACGGGAGCCAGGUGUGCCCCCCGCCCCUGCUGCACGGGUCCCUGCCCUGGCUGGAUGGCGGCAAAGCUCCGGGCGGCCACCACACCGCUUCGCCUUGGAACCUCAGCCCCUUUUCCAAGACUUCCAUCCACCACGGCUCCCCGGGGCCCCUCACGGUCCACCCCCCAGCCUCGUCCUCCUCCCUGUCCGGGGGCCACGCCAGCCCGCACCUCUUCACCUUCCCGCCCACCCCGCCCAAGGACGUCUUCCGGGACCCGUCGCUGUCCACCCCGGACUCGGCCAGCUCGGGCCAGCAGGACGAGACAGAGUGCCUCAAGUACCAGGUGCCGCUGCCCGACAGCAUGCAGCUCGAGUCGUCGCACUCCUGCAGCAGCGUGCGCACCCUGGGGGGAGCCUCCUCGUCAGCCCACCACCCCAUCACCACCUACCCGCCCUACGUGCCCGAGUACAGCUCCGGACUCGUCCCCUCCAGCAGCCUGCUGGGCGGCUCCCCAACCGGCUUCGGAGGCAAGUCGAGGCCCAAGGACGGAUCCAGCACAGAAGGCAAGGAGUGCGUGAACUGCGGGACAACCUCCACCCCACUGUGGCGGCGAGACGGCACCGGGCACUACCUGUGCAACACCUGUGGGCUCUACCACAAAGUGAACGGACAGAACUGGCCCCUCAUUAAGCCCAGGGGAAGGCUGUCUGCAGCCAGGAGAGCAGGGACGUCCUGUGCAAACUGUCAGACCACCAAGACCAUGCUCUGGAGGAGGAAUGCCAACGGGGCCCCUGUCUGCAACGCCUGCGGGCUCUACUACAAGCUGCACAAUACUAACAGACCCCUGACCAUGAAGAAGGAAGGCAUCCAGACCAGAAACCGGAAAAUGUCUAGCAAAUCCAAAAAGUGUACGACACGCUGGAGGACUUCCCCAAGAACAGCUCAUUUAACCCGGCCGCCCUCUCCAGUUACAUGUCCUCCCUGAGCCACAUCUCGCCCUUCAGCCACUCCAGUCACAUGUUGACCACGCCCAUGCCGAUGCACCCACCGUCCAGCCUGUCCCUUGAACCUCACCAUACUUCCAGUAUGGUCACCGCCAUGGGUUAGAGGCCCGCUCGACGCUCACUGGGCUCCACGCGAGAGUCCCCGAAGCCCCUUUGACUUGCAUUUGUGCAGGGGCAGUAUCAUGAAGACUGAAGGCCAUGGAUAUAUGUUUUCGAAGGCAGAAAGCAAAAUGAUGUUUGCUACUUUGCAAAGGAGCUCACUGUGGUGUCUGUGUUCCAACCACUGAUUCUGGGUCCCAUUUGUGAAUAAGCCAUUCAGACUCUCAUCCCCUAUUUAACAGGGUCUCUAGUGCUGUGAAAAAAAAUGCUGAACAUUGCAUAUAACUUAUAUUGUAAGAAAUACUGUACAUUUGAGGAAGACUCUAUUGCAUCUGGGUAGCUGUAAGGCAUGAAGGAGGCCAAGAAGUUUAACGAAUAUGGGGGAAAAUAAAGUAUGGAAACUAAGAAGAAACUAGGUCUGAUAUCCAAAUAGACAAACUGCCAGUUUUGUUUCCUUUCACUGGCCACAGUUGUUUGAUGCAUUAAAAGAAAAAAAACAAAACAAAA